Molecule: long non-coding RNA, 392 nt
Organism: Populus euphratica (Euphrates poplar)
Lineage: Eukaryota; Viridiplantae; Streptophyta; Magnoliopsida; Malpighiales; Salicaceae
Exons: 2
Source: RefSeq, a predicted model, not a curated record
AAGAAAGCCAGAAAAAACAAAAAGAAUCAAUAAGAAACUAUAGUACUUGAUAAUCACUUUAACGAGUAAAAAAAUAACGGCACUUGAUGCUGAAAAUGCAUAAAUGAUAGUCAUAGAAUCCUCUCUUAAAUCCGGCAUUAAAUUAGGAAAUAAAUAAACUAAAAAAAAACAAUAUCAAUCGAUAGUGCUUAAUCACUCAUAUCAUCUCACUGAACAAAAGGACUGGAUUCAAUCCUCUAAUUCUUUUGGAUUAAGAUAAAACAAAAUACAGGUUAUGAACUAAUCAUAUCAUAUAAUUAAAGUAACAAAAGGUAGAAGAAAUUAAGUAACACUUUCAACAUACAGCAAGGAAACGUGACUUAGCACGAUCUGAGCUGCUGGAUUAGAGUAAA